CCUACGGGUGGCAGCAGUGGGGGAUAUUGCACAAUGGGGGAAACCCUGAUGCAGCGACGCCGCGUGUGGGAAGACGGUCUUCUGGAUUGUAAACCACUGUCCCUAGGGACGAAAAUGACGGUACCUGGGGAGGAAGCUCGUGCAAACUACGUGCAAGCAGCCGCGGUAAUACGUAGGGAGCAAGCGUUGUCUGGAUUUACUGGGUGUAAGGGGAGCGUAGGCGGGGAUGCAAGUUGGGUGUGAAAACUAUCGGCUAAACCGAUAGUCGCACUCAAAACUGGAGCUCUUGAGUGAAGUAGAGGCGGGCGGAAUUCCUAGUGUAGCGGUGAAAUGCGUAGAUAUUAGGAGGAACACCAGUGGCGAAGGCGGCCUGCUGGGCUUUUACUGACGCUGAGGCUCGAAAGUGUGGGGAGCAAACAGGAUUAGAUACCCCUGUAGUC
RNAcentral lists this ribosomal RNA (440 nucleotides) under uncultured bacterium. RNAcentral describes it as "partial 16S ribosomal RNA". It matches the Rfam family "Bacterial small subunit ribosomal RNA", at positions 338 to 795 of the family's 1533-position model. The record is from RNAcentral.